This 435-nucleotide ribosomal RNA is filed under the name uncultured bacterium. Its description in RNAcentral is "bacterial SSU rRNA". It matches the Rfam family "Bacterial small subunit ribosomal RNA", at positions 954 to 1392 of the family's 1533-position model. The record is from RNAcentral.
GCUAAACGCGAAGAACCUUACCAAGGCUUGACAUAUACCGUUUAUCCCUAGAGAUAGGGAGUCCUUCGGGCGGUAUACAGGUGGUGCAUGGUUGUCGUCAGCUCGUGUCGUGAGAUGUUGGGUUAAGUCCCGUAACGAGCGCAACCCUUGUCCUUAGUUACCAGCACGUUAUGGUGGGCACUCUAAGGAGACUGCCGGUGACAAACCGGAGGAAGGUGGGGAUGACGUCAAGUCAUCAUGGCCCUUACGGCCUGGGCUACACACGUGCUACAAUGGUCGGUACAGAGGGUUGCCAAGCCGCGAGGUGGAGCUAAACUCAAAAGCCGGUCCCAGUUCGGAUUGUAGGCUGAAACUCGCCUACAUGAAGUUGGAGUUGCUAGUAAUGGCGAGUCAGCAACAUCGCCGUGAAUACGUUCCCGGGUCUUGUACACACCG